Molecule: ribosomal RNA, 253 nt
Filed under: uncultured bacterium
Lineage: Bacteria
Description: partial 16S ribosomal RNA
Rfam family: Bacterial small subunit ribosomal RNA
Source: RNAcentral
UACGUAGGGUGCGAGCGUUAAUCGGAAUUACUGGGCGUAAAGCGUGCGCAGGCGGUUGUGUAAGUCAGAUGUGAAAUCCCCGGGCUCAACCUGGGAACUGCAUUUGAGACUGCACGGCUAGAGUGUGGCAGAGGGGGGUAGAAUUCCACGUGUAGCAGUGAAAUGCGUAGAGAUGUGGAGGAAUACCGAUGGCGAAGGCAGCCCCCUGGGCCAAUACUGACGCUCAUGCACGAAAGCGUGGGGAGCAAACAGG